GGUUGGGUCCCUGGGACGUGGCCGGAAGGGUGCACCACCUGCCCAGCUCCUCCUCCUCACUGCUUCCUGGCCACCACGCGGUGAGCAGGUCUCCUCCGCCAGGCCCCUCUGCCUCACACUGAGGGCACUGGGUGUUGUGCCACCCACCAGGGCAGUGACAGGGAGACACAUUGCCAUCGGUCCCCCGCACACCCCACGCUUCAGACCCUGUCCCAUUGCUCUUGGCAGUGUGGCCUUUACCAUUGCAAGUCGUUUUAAAUUUAAACACCCACUGCAUGUUUUGAUCACCCUGUGAACUGUGGUGCAGCAAUUUAAGAGAGAAAAAUGAGGGGCCGGGGAUGUGGCUCAGUGAUUCCACCACCUACCUCUCAAGUGCAAAGUCCAGAGUUCAAUUGUGGGGGUGGAGCGUGAAAUGAAAAAGAACACCCUGGGCUCCGUCUAAGGUGAGUCUGUGUGGAAGGCUGGGCCCUGCGAACACGCACCGCUUCAUGCACUGCUAAGUACCCAAGAACUGACCACAGCUGAGCCUUGGGGACUGGGUAUGCACGUAGGUCACAGCCAACAGAGCAGACCUGAUCCUGCCUGCCAUUAUGUGUGAUCUCCUGUCCUCCGAAAGGAGGGAAGAGACAGGAAAUGAGCCCUGGCCUCACAGCCAGCCACGGGGUGGGAUCCCCACCAGAAGACCCUCCCAGACCCACUCGGGCUGACCACAGGACCACCGCCGGGCCCAUCGGGUGGAGGCUGUGGCUCUGCCGCUGUCCAUGUCCUCUCCCUCCACCCUGGGGCGCUCUCCAUCCCCGCCUCUGGGGCCUCCCUGCCAUGUCCCUGGCCAGCGGCCGCCUCCCCAGCAACAGGACUGAGGAACUGAUGCUGGCGGCCGCAGCUCCGCCCUCCCACCCCAGGGACUGCGCCACCGCUGCCCUCCUGCACCAUACCCCUUCCAUCGCGGCUCUCGUCCACACCCACCGCGCCUCAGAGGUCCCGGCCUGGCCUGGCCUUGCCUCGCCCACCUGCCCCAGGCCACUGUCGCUGACCUCCUUGUCACAGAGUCUUCCAGCUUUUCCAGCUCCUUCCUCGCUGGCACAGGAACCCAGACGACACCCGAGACAAUGCACCUGGCCUGUGGCCGCUGGACCAGUCACCACCGCCGGCUGUGGCUUCGCCCAACACAAAUUCCUGUCGUGACGUUCUGAGGUCAGAGGCACUGAAACUGAGGGAUCAGAGUGGGGGAGCCAGCUGCCCACCCUUGGCGUCCUCGGGAGCCGCCCCGUGUCCAUGCCUUCCCAUGUGCUUCCCCGUCCCUCUCUCGGCCACGCUGGCAGUC
RNAcentral lists this long non-coding RNA (1324 nucleotides) under Fukomys damarensis (Damara mole-rat). Its description in RNAcentral is "lncRNA (ENSFDAG00000030604.1)". Lineage: Eukaryota; Metazoa; Chordata; Mammalia; Rodentia; Bathyergidae. The record is from RNAcentral.